RNAcentral lists this long non-coding RNA (225 nucleotides) under Phaseolus vulgaris (common bean). RNAcentral's name for it is "long non-coding RNA (PVUL_LNC002235)". Lineage: Eukaryota; Viridiplantae; Streptophyta; Magnoliopsida; Fabales; Fabaceae. The record is from RNAcentral.
GGCGACUACACGUGCCCCCCGACUUCCUUCCCUUCUGCCAACCUGGCGCCUUGUCACCACGCUUAUACUGUAGGAGGAUGCCACGUCAUUAUACCCGACCACCAGGGCGGUACACAAGCCCCCCAGUCUUAAGCGAAGACUUGUCUAGCGAAAAGACUGAAAGAGCCUUCGUUAACACCGAUCUACGUGGCACUGACGCAGAAUUCCAAGUGAUUGUACUUUCUG